Molecule: ribosomal RNA, 520 nt
Filed under: bacterium Ag-r22
Lineage: Bacteria
Description: bacterial SSU rRNA
Rfam family: Bacterial small subunit ribosomal RNA
Source: RNAcentral
UCUAGAACGCCCUAGAAUAGGGACUCUUUGGACACUCGUGAACAGGUGGUGCAUGGUUGUCGUCAGCUCGUGUCGUGAGAUGUUGGGUUAAGUCCCGCAACGAGCGCAACCCUCGUUCUAUGUUGCCAGCGCGUAAUGGCGGGAACUCAUAGGAGACUGCCGGGGUCAACUCGGAGGAAGGUGGGGAUGACGUCAAAUCAUCAUGCCCCUUAUGUCUUGGGCUUCACGCAUGCUACAAUGGCAGGUACAAAGGGCUGCAAUACCGUAAGGUGGAGCGAAUCCCAAAAAGCCGGUCUCAGUUCGGAUUGAGGUCUGCAACUCGACCUCAUGAAGUCGGAGUCGCUAGUAAUCGCAGAUCAGCAACGCUGCGGUGAAUACGUUCCCGGGCCUUGUACACACCGCCCGUCAAGUCAUGAAAGUCGGUAACACCCGAAGCCGGUGGCCCAACCCUUGUGGAGGGAGCCGUCGAAGGUGGGAUCGGUGAUUAGGACUAAGUCGUAACAAGGUAGCCGUAAAGGCC